GGCUCGCUCUCUCCGUCGCUCGGUAGCUAUGUCAGGCAGCCGGUCCGUUUCGCGUCGGCGACUUUCUGGAUUAGGUCGCGGGGGGACGGGGGGUAGGGGCAGGCCGGUAGGGGUAGGGGUAGGCCGGUAGGGCGGCCCCAGCAGGCGGCCUGGCGGCAAGGAACGGAGGAAGGUGGCUCUUCCGCUCUUCUCAGCGGCGAGACGAGGGGAAGCUCGCGAGGAACGGACCGACCACCUAGACGUCGGUGGUGCUCGGCGGCGGGCGGCCAGCGGCCUGCAGGCUUGAGGCAUCGGGCCGUCUCUACUCCUCGACGACGGGUUCGAAGACUUACCGAAUUAGGGACGACUUAAGGAUCAAGCACUGCGGGAAACCAAAAACCUUGGUUUCUACUUCUCCUUACCACUGUAAGUCAGGAAAAAAGCCUUAAUACUCCGACGAUUUUCUUUCUUCCAACGUCGGCUUCUCGUUGGACUUCUAUAUCACAGUUUAUAACUUCUACUUCGUCAGGUAUUAGGUGGAGGUCAGGUAAGACGUCUCUAACUUAAACUAUAACUUCUACUUCGUCAGGUAAGGCUACAUCUCUAACUUUCACUAACACUUCUACUUCGUCAGGUAAGAGGCACACGUUCCGGUAUAUUAUAAGUUUCCGAAGGAGGACUAGGUCCCCUCUCCUAAGGAUAAAGUCUCAUACUACAGCUACUAGUUCUACUUCAAGCCUCUGCUAUGUAACGUUUCGUUCGUCAGGUUGGUAUACGUGUGUUGAAAGUUCAGUCUUUUUAGAUACCAUUUUUAGCUGUGAAGUUGAAACAAACCAAACUCUGGAUAUUUACCAAUCUUAUAUCACAGUUUAUACUCCGUCGUAAAACGAAACAACAAUAAACAAGUUUCCUUUUAGCUUACCCCCCGGAUCCCCACUACGGAAACAAUUACCACCAACCUUUUUAACCAUAUUCGGGCUACGUAACCAGUUUGUACAAAAGUUAGAAGUGAACUACGAACAAUAAGAACCGAUAUGUUUACUCAACAGGUUUAGACACGUUUUCUCUCUAGUUCUAUAACAGUUACGUUACUGUGAACAAUCAAACCGCUUCUCAUCUUACGUUGUGUACUCCAGAGUACCAACCCUUCUUAAAGAACGUUUCGAUUGGAAUAAAACGUUGUUUGUACUGUAAGUUCAAGGAAACACCCUCCUAUAAAUAUUCGGAUUAGCUUCUAGUGCAGCCAUAAUACUUCAUGUUUGUUUACUACUAGCAAUAUCUUCUCUUCAUAUAGAACCACAGUAACUAGUUUGGUAAGUUCUCGAACUGUUAGCCAAACUACUCCAAUUAUGCCUCAACGAAUAAACGUACAGCCGAAACUUAGGGGAGUUAAGUAAACGAAGAAUACUACGUGAGUUCCAUUACUCUGAACGACUUAAGAUAGGGUACCUGUAAAGUUCGUGUCUAAACUAUUCCGAUCUUAAAGUUGAAUGAUUAAAAUAACUACUAUACUCUGUUCUACUAUCCAAAUCUUUACGUUCAUUAUAACCACUCGAGAGAUAAUACGAACAACGUUGUUUCUUCGUACAAGAAAUACUGAACCAGAUGAAUGAGUAGUUUAACUAUAACUAAAAUGGCCACCGCUGCCGUUCACAACUUUCUCAUAAAAGUCGUUACUUAGAUCACUUUUUAUUCAACUCCUGAUGAUACCCACUACUAGCGAACUUACUAACGAACCACUGUAAACAACUUGCCCUACACAAGUACCUUCAUUCGUUUCUACUGUAUCAAUUACGAAAGUACCGUUACGUUUUUGCAUCUCAAUGGAUCACUACAUUCAAAGAUGAAUACGAAGAAAGUACAUUCUGAUAAGGAUAACAUUAACUCGUGUAAACUCUAUAUAAAACACUUGAUUUAACAACACUCUAAACGUAAUUCGAUGAGUACAAUAAUAAAACGGUAUAAAACAGACUGUGUACCUAAUCCACCCUUUUUUUUAAAUCUCACACGUGUGGGAAGUAAAAAAAGGACCCAGGCGGUGACGCAUCGUGGCACCAGUUACCUCAUUAUCAUCAUGAUCAUUUGAACAUUGUCCAAUUUAAAGGAAGAAGGUAUCACAUUAUUAUCCAAAUUUAAAGGAAGGUACCUGUACCUCACGUCCGACAUAUCU
This 2149-nucleotide ribosomal RNA is filed under the name Triticum aestivum (bread wheat). RNAcentral describes it as "partial small subunit ribosomal RNA". Lineage: Eukaryota; Viridiplantae; Streptophyta; Magnoliopsida; Poales; Poaceae. The record is from RNAcentral.